RNAcentral lists this ribosomal RNA (516 nucleotides) under uncultured bacterium. RNAcentral's name for it is "bacterial SSU rRNA". It matches the Rfam family "Bacterial small subunit ribosomal RNA", at positions 15 to 518 of the family's 1533-position model. The record is from RNAcentral.
GAUCUUGGUUCAGGAUGAACGCUAGCUACAGGCUUAACACAUGCAAGUCGAGGGGCAGCAUUAUCGAAGCUUGCUUUGAUAGAUGGCGACCGGCGCACGGGUGAGUAACGCGUAUCCAACCUUCCCUAUAGUAGAGAAUAGCCCGGCGAAAGUCGGAUUAAUGCUCUAUGUUGUAUUUAGAAGACAUCUGAAGAAUACCAAAGGUUUACCGCUAUAGGAUGGGGAUGCGUCUGAUUAGGUAGUAGGCGGGGUAACGGCCCACCUAGCCGACGAUCAGUAGGGGUUCUGAGAGGAAGGUCCCCCACAUUGGAACUGAGACACGGUCCAAACUCCUACGGGAGGCAGCAGUGAGGAAUAUUGGUCAAUGGACGAAAGUCUGAACCAGCCAAAAGUAGCGUGCAGGAUGACGGCCCUAUGGGUUGUAAACUGCUUUUAUAUAGGGAUAAAGUCGGGGACGUGUCCCCGUUUGUAGGUACUAUAUGAAUAAGGACCGGCUAAUUCCGUGCCAGCCGCCGC